Molecule: ribosomal RNA, 497 nt
Filed under: uncultured bacterium
Lineage: Bacteria
Description: partial 16S ribosomal RNA
Rfam family: Bacterial small subunit ribosomal RNA
Source: RNAcentral
GAUGAACGCUGGCGGCGUGCCUAAUACAUGCAAGUCGAGCGAACAGAUAAGGAGCUUGCUCCUUUGACGUUAGCGGCGGACGGGUGAGUAAAACGUGGGUAACCUACCUAUAAGACUGGAAUAACUCCGGGAAACCGGGGCUAAUGCCGGAUAACAUUUAGAACCGCAUGGUUCUAAAGUGAAAGAUGGUUUUGCUAUCCCUUAUAGAUGGACCCGCGCCGUAUUAGCUAGUUGGUAAGGUAACGGCUUACCAAGGCAACGAUACGUAGCCGACCUGAGAGGGUGAUCGGCCACACUGGAACUGAGACACGGUCCAGACUCCUACGGGAGGCAGCAGUAGGGAAUCUUCCGCAAUGGGCGAAAGCCUGACGGAGCAACGCCGCGUGAGUGAUGAAGGUCUUCGGAUCGUAAAACUCUGUUAUUAGGGAAGAACAAAUGUGUAAGUAACUGUGCACGUCUUGACGGUACCUAAUCAGAAAGCCACGGCUAACUACGUG